RNAcentral lists this ribosomal RNA (446 nucleotides) under uncultured bacterium. Its description in RNAcentral is "partial 16S ribosomal RNA". It matches the Rfam family "Bacterial small subunit ribosomal RNA", at positions 338 to 795 of the family's 1533-position model. The record is from RNAcentral.
CCUACGGGUGGCAGCAGUCGAGAAUCAUUCACAAUGGGGGAAACCCUGAUGGUGCGACACCGCGUGGGGGAAUGAAGGUCUUCGGAUUGUAAACCCCUGUCAUGUGGGAGCAAAUUAAAAAGAUAGUACCACAAGAGGAAGAGACGGCUAACUCUGUGCCAGCAGCCGCGGUAAUACAGAGGUCUCAAGCGUUGUUCGGAAUCACUGGGCGUAAGGCGUGCGUAGGCUGUUUCGUAAGUCGUGUGUGAAAGGCGCGGGCUCAACCCGCGGACGGCACAUGAUACUGCGAGACUAGAGUAAUGGAGGGGGAACCGGAAUUCUCGGUGUAGCAGUGAAAUGCGUAGAUAUCGAGAGGAACACUCGUGGCGAAGGCGGAUUCCUGGACAUUAACUGACGCUGAGGCACGAAGGCCAGGGGAGCGAAAGGGAUUAGAUACCCGUGUAGUC